This 229-nucleotide ribosomal RNA is filed under the name uncultured bacterium. Its description in RNAcentral is "partial 16S ribosomal RNA". It matches the Rfam family "Bacterial small subunit ribosomal RNA", at positions 107 to 334 of the family's 1533-position model. The record is from RNAcentral.
UGAGUAACACGUAUCCAACCUGCCGUCUACUCUUGGCCAGCCUUCUGAAAGGAAGAUUAAUCCAGGAUGGCAUCAUGAGUUCACAUGUCCGCAUGAUUAAAGGUAUUUUCCGGUAGACGAUGGGGAUGCGUUCCAUUAGAUAGUAGGCGGGGUAACGGCCCACCUAGUCAACGAUGGAUAGGGGUUCUGAGAGGAAGGUCUCCCACAUUGGAACUGAGACACGGUCCAA